AUUGAACGCUGGCGGCAGGCCUAACACAUGCAAGUCGAACGAGUGGCGGACGGGUGAGUAAUGUCUGGGAAAAUGCCUGAUGGAGGGGGAUAACUACUGGAAACGGUAGCUAAUACCGCAUACCAUCAGAUGUGCCCAGAUGGGUUGUGCUAGGUGGUGGGGUAACGGCUCACCAAGGCGCAGAUCACUAUCUGGUCUGAGAGGAUGACCGUCCACACUGGAACGUAGAUACGGUCCCGACGCUUACGGGAGGCAGCAGUGGGGAAUAUUGCACAAGGGGCGCAAUCCUGAUGCAGCCAUGCCGCGUGUAGGAAGAAGGCCUUCGGGUUGUAAAGUACUUUCAGCGGGGAGGCGUUACCCGCAGAAGAAGCACCGGCUAACUCCGUGCCAGCAGCCGCGGUAAUAC
Molecule: ribosomal RNA, 406 nt
Filed under: uncultured bacterium
Lineage: Bacteria
Description: partial 16S ribosomal RNA
Rfam family: Bacterial small subunit ribosomal RNA
Source: RNAcentral